CUACGGGACGCUGCAGUGGGGAAUAUUGGACAAUGGGCGAAAGCCUGAUCCAGCAAUGCCGCGUGUGCGAUGAAGGCCUGAGGGUUGUAAAGCACUUUCGUUGGGAAAGAAAUGCUCAAAGCUAAUACCUUUGAGAGUUGACGUUACCCAAAGAAGAAGCACCGGCUAACUCUGUGCCGGCAGCCGCGGUAAUACAGAGGGUGCAAGCGUUAAUCGGAGUUACUGGGCGUAAAGGGCGCGUAGGCGGAUACUUGAGUCGGAUGUGAAAUCCCUGGGCUCAACCUAGGAACUGCGUUCGAUACUAAGUGCCUAGAGUAUGGUAGAGGAAAGUGGAAUUCCCGGUGUAGUGGUAAAAUACGUAGAUAUCGGGAGGAACAUCAGUGGCGAAGGCGACUUUCUGGGCCAAUACUGACGCUGAGGCGCGAAAGCGUGGGGAGCAAACAGGAUUAGAUACCCGAGUAGUC
This 464-nucleotide ribosomal RNA is filed under the name uncultured bacterium. Its description in RNAcentral is "partial 16S ribosomal RNA". It matches the Rfam family "Bacterial small subunit ribosomal RNA", at positions 339 to 795 of the family's 1533-position model. The record is from RNAcentral.